GGAUCUCUCGCGCCCGUUCCCUGGAGACUGGGAGGACCGCUGACUGCGCCUCCUGGAGAUUGGGAGGACUGCUCACAGCGCCCCUGGAGACUGAACGGACCGCUCACCCCCGCCCCCUGGCGGUCGCAAGGAGUGGCAUCUUAAAAUAUCCAAACUAAACUGGUCUUCAAAUUAGAGAGUCAACUGAAAUGGAAAUGAAAAGAUUUAUGUUUUGCAAAACAUUAUCUACCACAAACUCCAACGCCCAUGGUGUGUGUGCAGGUGUGAGACACAGUGAAAGACACAAGGUGCACGAUUCUUUAUUCAAAUUUCCACCACCAGGAAGAUAGGAAAACACCGGAGUGGCCAGUAUCGAGCACUGUGUCACAUCAAAGGGCAAUGCUGUGUGACUCAGGAUUCUUCUCAACUUGGUUGCUAUUAUGGGACAUUUCUCUACACAACGCAUGGAUGACAUUUCCUGUUUGAUGCCUUAAAAGCUAUUUAACAUUAGCACCUUGCAGUGCUGACACACUGUCUUACUGCUGCUUUUCCCUAGAACCUUUUAUGUGUGGAUAUUUUUAAAGUAGAGUUACUUGAAGACAUCAUCAUGGGUGCAAUCAUGUAGAUAAUGAAACAUUUAGAGUCAUAGAGAUAUAUAGCAUAGAAACAGACCCUUCGGUCACACUUGGCCAUGCUGACCAGAUAUCCUAAAUUAAUCUAGUCCCAUUUGCCAGCACUUAAAGUAGAGUACAGUAGCUUUAUUUGUUGUGUCUACCAUAUACAGCUGAUACAAUAAAAACAAGGCAGCGUUCCUCCAGGACCUAGGUGCUAUAUGAACACAGAGACUACACAAGAGUACAGUCACACACAGGGCAGCAUGAAGUGCAUAGAAAAGUGCAAACCAUGCAAGGCAGAAGAGUAAUUCCUGACAAGACAAGACAAUAGGCACAGUGGUGGACAAAUUACAAUGUAACAAUGAAUGACCAUGAAUAAAACAUUGUUUUAGCAGCAAUUCAAAAAGUCAUCCGAAAAUUGCAAAUGGAAUAGAGUGUAAUUCGGGGAAGAAACUAUUGUACAGUCUGGCCGUAAGAGACUGAAUGCUCCGGUAUCUUCUGCUAGAUGGCAGGAGCAAGAAGAAUUCACAUGAAGGAUGUAUGGAGUCGUCCACAAUGCUAUUAGUUUUGUGGAGUAAAUGUCUGUAAUGGAGGGAAGAGAGACCCUGAUGGUCUUCUCAGCUGUCCACACUAGCCGUUGUAGGAUCUCACAAUCUGAGACAGUGCAAUUCCCAAGUGAAGCAGUGAUGCAACUGCUCAGGGUACUCUCAAUGAGCCCUCUGCAGAAUGUGGUGAGGAUGGGGGGGUGGGAGGUGGACUUUCCUCAACCGAUGCAAAAAGUAGAGAUUCUCCUGGGCUUUCUUGGUAAUGGAAAUGGUGUUGAGGGACCAGAAGAGAUUCUCCACCAGGUGAAUGCCAAGUAAUUUAGUGCUAUUCAUGAUCUCCACUAGGGAGCCAAUGUCCGGUGAAAAUGAUCGCUCCAUGGCCUCCUGAAGUCAACAACCAUCUCUUUAUUUUG
Non-coding RNA from Chiloscyllium plagiosum (whitespotted bambooshark), 1551 nucleotides. The record is from RefSeq and is a predicted model, not a curated record. Lineage: Eukaryota; Metazoa; Chordata; Chondrichthyes; Orectolobiformes; Hemiscylliidae.